GCCGCUGUAGCACAAAGGUAGUGCAUCGCUUUCCUACUUUGAUCUCGUUAGGCGAAGGUUGUGGGUUCGAUCCCCAUCAGCGGUU
This is a non-coding RNA of Mycena rosella, 85 nucleotides long. Lineage: Eukaryota; Fungi; Basidiomycota; Agaricomycetes; Agaricales; Mycenaceae. The record is from the annotation of a GenBank genome assembly.